GGGGCCCAAGGUGACCGGUACCUUGGAGAAGAGGCGCCGGGCUAUCUAGGUGCCAGCAGCCGCGGUUAUACGUAGGGCGCAAGCGUUGUCCGGAAUUAUUGGGCGUAAAGAGCUCGUAGGCGGUCUGUCGCGUCUGGUGUGAAAUCCCGAGCCUCAACCUCGGUCUUGCAUCGGGUACGGCCAGAAUAGAGUGCGUUAGGGGAAAACUGGGAUUCCCUGGUGUAGGCGGUGGAAUGCGCCAGAAUAUUCAGUAGUAAACACCGAUGGGCGAAGGGCAGGUCUCUGGGGCGCAACUGACGCUGAGGAGCGAAAGCAUGGGGGAGCGAACAGGAUUAGAUACCCUGGUAGUCAAGGGCGAAUUCCACAGUG
RNAcentral lists this ribosomal RNA (369 nucleotides) under Isoptericola sp. RNAcentral's name for it is "bacterial SSU rRNA". It matches the Rfam family "Bacterial small subunit ribosomal RNA", at positions 459 to 814 of the family's 1533-position model. Lineage: Bacteria; Bacillati; Actinomycetota; Actinomycetes; Micrococcales; Promicromonosporaceae. The record is from RNAcentral.